AGAGACCCAAUCAAAACUCAUGUUGUCUUUGCAGUCUAAGCUUUAUUAUUGAAUUGAUAAAACUUUCAACAACGGAUCUCUUGGCUCUGGCAUCGAUGAAGAACGCAGCGAAAUGCGAUAAGUAAUGUGAAUUGCAGAAUUUAGUGAAUCAUCG
Molecule: ribosomal RNA, 154 nt
Filed under: Erysiphe pulchra
Lineage: Eukaryota; Fungi; Ascomycota; Leotiomycetes; Helotiales; Erysiphaceae
Description: 5.8S ribosomal RNA
Rfam family: 5.8S ribosomal RNA (bases 61-154)
About the family: 5.8S ribosomal RNA (5.8S rRNA) is a component of the large subunit of the eukaryotic ribosome. It is transcribed by RNA polymerase I as part of the 45S precursor that also contains 18S and 28S rRNA.
Source: RNAcentral